This 1005-nucleotide long non-coding RNA is filed under the name Capra hircus (goat). Its description in RNAcentral is "lncRNA (ENSCHIG00010003855.1)". The record is from RNAcentral. Lineage: Eukaryota; Metazoa; Chordata; Mammalia; Artiodactyla; Bovidae.
AUGCUCAAUGCCAGCCAACCCCAGGCCCCCUAUGCCUCUACGGGCAGAGUCUCCAAGGCUGGAAGUGUGUCCUACCUCCCUCCCCAGCCUGGAAGAGAGGCUCAAGGGGCAGAGGAGGUGGGGGUGAUGGGAGUGUGGAUGAGCCAGAAGGCGUCCCCCACCGGAGGCCGUGCUGUUCCCCAGGACUGCCUGACCCAGCUGCUCGUCCCACCUGCGUCUGCUCGCGCCACUCCUCUCGCCUCUGUCGCUCCACCUGCGUCCAUCCAGCCGUGUGUCUCUUUCUCCUUCUCUGCAGUCUCUUGGCCUGUCUCCACGUCUGUAGGUUUUCUCCCUUUGUUUUUCCGCAUGGUCUCUCUCUUUGCACCGUCUCUGGGUUCACUUUUUGGAUCUGAUCCUCCGACCCUGUCUCUCCCAGCAUAUUUCAACCUCCUCUCCUCCCAAUCACUUCUGCUUAAGCCCUCCCUCCCCAGGAGUGGUGCCUCGCCAGCCCCACCCAGCCCAGUACAUGAGAAGAGGGCUUUUGAACUUGGCCUUCAGGGACCAGACCCCCCCAUCAAUCAACCUGCAGCCUUGGGUCAGACCUCCAUUAGCACUAACCAGCCUGGACAAGAGGCAGACACCAUCGGGCUAGGCCUCGGGGUGAUAAGACCCAGAUUGAAUCACCAGGUGGGGGGAGCUGGACACCCAGGGACAAGAGACAGCCAUGCUGUCGGCCCUGAGGAGCCAUGGAGAGCGUGGGUUAUUGCAGGAGCUGGGCAGGUGAUUGGAAGUGAUGGGGCUGGAGUAGGGGGGUGGAAUUGCUUCUCCCUGCUCCUGGGUGAGGAAGAUGGGGACAGGGCCCAGGUCCUGGGGUGGGGGACCUCACCCGGCCUCGGAGUUGAUAGAAGCCUCAGGCCACUCAGUAAGACCAGUGGCAUUCCAAGGGACAGAGGGGCAGGGAGAGCACACCUCCUCCCUCAGGCAGAGUGGAACGGGGAGAUGGCCCACCUGGUCCUUAGGAAAUAG